RNAcentral lists this ribosomal RNA (1688 nucleotides) under Listeria monocytogenes. Its description in RNAcentral is "bacterial SSU rRNA". It matches the Rfam family "Bacterial small subunit ribosomal RNA". Lineage: Bacteria; Bacillati; Bacillota; Bacilli; Caryophanales; Listeriaceae. The record is from RNAcentral.
UAUUUUAAAGAGAGUUUGAUCCUGGCUCAGGACGAACGCUGGCGGCGUGCCUAAUACAUGCAAGUCGAACGAACGGAGGAAGAGCUUGCUCUUCCAAAGUUAGUGGCGGACGGGUGAGUAACACGUGGGCAACCUGCCUGUAAGUUGGGGAUAACUCCGGGAAACCGGGGCUAAUACCGAAUGAUAAAGUGUGGCGCAUGCCACGCUUUUGAAAGAUGGUUUCGGCUAUCGCUUACAGAUGGGCCCGCGGUGCAUUAGCUAGUUGGUAGGGUAAUGGCCUACCAAGGCAACGAUGCAUAGCCGACCUGAGAGGGUGAUCGGCCACACUGGGACUGAGACACGGCGCCCAGGACUCCUACGGAGGCAGCAGUAGGAAUCUUCCGCAAUGGGACGAAAGUCUGACGAGCAACGCCGCGUGUAUGAAGAAGGUUUUCGGAUCGUAAAUACUUUGUAGAGAAGAACAGGAUAAGAGUAACUGCUUGUCCCCUUGAGAUCUAACCAGAAAGCCACGGGGCUAAUACGUGACCAGGCAGCCGCCGGUAAUACCCGUAGGUGGCAAGGCGAUUGUCCGGAUUUAUGGGGCGUUUAAAGCGCGCCCGCAGGCCGGGUCUUUUAAGGUCUGAUGUGAAAAAGGGACCCGGCUUAACCGGGGGCAGGAGGUCAUUGGGAAACUGGAAGGGACGGAGUGCAAGAAUGAGGAGAGCUGGAAUUCCACCGUGGAUAGCGGUGAAAUGGCGUAGAUAUGUGGAGGAAACAGUGGCGGAAGGCGACCUCUCUGGGUUUUGUAAACUGACGCUGAGGGCCGCGAAAAGCAGUGGGGGAGCAAAACAGGAUUAGAUACCCUGUAGUCCACGCGCGUAAACGAUGAGUUGCUAAGUGUUAGGGUUUCCGCCCCCUUAGUGCUGCAGCCUAACGGACAUUAGCCACUCCGCCUGGGGAGUACGGGACCGGGCAAGGAUUGAAACUCAAAGAAUUGACGGGAGUGGCCCGGCCACAAGCCGGUGGAGCAUGUGGUUUAAUCGAUAGCAAACCUGCGAAGAACCUUACCAGGCUUUGGGACAUCCUUUGACCACUCCUGGAGACAAGAGCUUUCCCCUUCGGGAACAAAGCUGCAGUGGUGCAUGGUUGUCGUCAGCUCCAGUUUGUCGUGAGAUGUUGGGUUAAGGGCUCCCGGCAACGAGCGCCAACCCAUUGAUUUUAGUUUUCCCGAGCCAUUAUAGUUGCGGCACUCUAAAGUGACUGGCCGGUGCAAGCCGAGGAAGGGUGGGGAUGACGUCAAAUCAUCCAUGACCCCUUAUGGACCUGGGGCUACACCACGUGCACAAUGGAUAGUACCAAAGUCGCGAAGCCCGCAGAGGUGGGAGCUAAUCCCAUUAAAAAUAUUCUCAGGGUUCGGAUUGUAGGCUGCAAACUCGACCUAAUGAAGCCGGAAUCCCCGUAGUAUAUCGUGGCAUCAGGAUGCCCACGGUGAAUAACGUUUCCCGGGGGCCUUGCUACACCCCCCCACGCCCGUCACACCACCCACGAGGAGAGUUUGUAACCCACCCGAAGGUCGGGUUUAGGUACAACCUUUAUGGAGCCAGCCGCCGAAGGGGUGGGGACAGGAUAAUUGGGUGUUGGGAGAAGUCGUAAACAAGGUAGCACGUAUCGGGAAGGUGCGGCGCUGGAUCCACCUCCUUUCUAAGGAA